RNAcentral lists this transfer RNA (71 nucleotides) under Loxodonta africana (African savanna elephant). It matches the Rfam family "tRNA". Rfam says of the family: Transfer RNA (tRNA) molecules are approximately 80 nucleotides in length. Their secondary structure includes four short double-helical elements and three loops (D, anti-codon, and T loops). Further hydrogen bonds mediate the characteristic L-shaped molecular structure. tRNAs have two regions of fundamental functional importance: the anti-codon, which is responsible for specific mRNA codon recognition, and the 3' end, to which the tRNAs corresponding amino acid is attached (by aminoacyl-tRNA synthetases). tRNAs cope with the degeneracy of the genetic code in two manners: having more than one tRNA (with a specific anti-codon) for a particular amino acid; and 'wobble' base-pairing, i.e. permitting non-standard base-pairing at the 3rd anti-codon position. The record is from Rfam by way of RNAcentral. Lineage: Eukaryota; Metazoa; Chordata; Mammalia; Proboscidea; Elephantidae.
GCAGUGAUGGUUCAGUGGUAGAAUUCUCGCCUUCUAUGUGGGAGACCCAGGUUCGAUUCCCAGGCAAUGUA